This 671-nucleotide ribosomal RNA is filed under the name uncultured bacterium. RNAcentral's name for it is "bacterial SSU rRNA". It matches the Rfam family "Bacterial small subunit ribosomal RNA", at positions 1 to 721 of the family's 1533-position model. The record is from RNAcentral.
UCGAUUAGUUUGAUCAUGGCUCAGAGCGAACGCUGGCGGCAGGCCUAAUACAUGCAAGUCGAACGGACCCUUCGGGGUUAGUGGCGGACGGGUGAGUAACACGUGGGAACGUGCCCUUUGGUUCGGAACAACUCAGGGAAACUUGAGCUAAUACCGGAUGUGCCCUUCGGGGGAAAGAUUUAUCGCCAUUGGAGCGGCCCGCGUCUGAUUAGCUAGUUGGUGGGGUAAAGGCCUACCAAGGCGACGAUCAGUAGCUGGUCUGAGAGGAUGAUCAGCCACACUGGGACUGAGACACGGCCCAGACUCCUACGGGAGGCAGCAGUAGGGAAUCUUGCGCAAUGGGCGAAAGCCUGACGCAGCCAUGCCGCGUGAAUGAUGAAGGUCUUAGGAUUGUAAAAUUCUUUCAGCGGGGACGAUAAUGACGGUACCCGCAGAAGAAGCCCUGGCUAACUUCGUGCCAGCAGCCGCGGUAAUACGAAGGGGGCUAGCGUUGCUCGGAAUUACUGGGCGUAAAGGGCGCGUAGGCGGAUGUUUAAGUCAGAGGUGAAAGCCCAGGGCUCAACCUUGGAACUGCCUUUGAUACUGGACAUCUUGAGUACGGGAGAGGUGAGUGGAACUCCGAGUGUAGAGGUGAAAUUCGUAGAUAUUCGGAAGAACACCAGUGGCGAAGG